This 28-nucleotide non-coding RNA is filed under the name Rattus norvegicus (Norway rat). Lineage: Eukaryota; Metazoa; Chordata; Mammalia; Rodentia; Muridae. The record is from RNAcentral.
UUGGAAGCAACCUAACGAAAUGAUACCU